UCGUGGUGGAGUUGCAAAUAGCUUUUUAUGUUAAGUCUAGGGAUUGUGCCCCCUACAUAUAUCUUUUAUGUUCAGUCAGGAUUUUUCCUAAGAGAUGGUUUUAUCUUAUUUUUUCUCCUUUUUUUUCAGAAGUUUGUUCUUCUUGAUCUAACUAGGAUUCAAAUAUUCAUAGAAACAUCCAUAGAGUGGGAGCUUAAACCCUUAACCCCCUUAGAUUGUUUUACAUGCCAUGGACCCAACUCAAACCAUAAGAGAAGUGCUGACCCCAUACUAGAACCACACAAGCUCUAGUUUGUGAAGGCCCUUUACAAAGACCAAUCCACAUGAAACAAAACAAUAGGCAUAAAAUACAUAAAUUAUGUAGAGCUCCUAGAAGGAGAUCAAUCUCCCAGAUAUGGAGUCCUCCCUUGAUGACUUUGAUCAAUAUCAGAUGAUGAACAUUACUAGUAGGCCACUAAAAGUCUAGACCUUGAGAGAGAAAUAUGUGGCUGAAGAAGAGAAAACUAGCUUUAUCAUUCUAAUGACUUUAUCGCUCCCUCUUCAUUGGUGCAUCACACCACAACUAGCUUGACAAUUCACUAGCUUCAAAUUCGAGUUAAACCAAUAGACAAGAUCCAUUAUAAUGAACAUAUUCUUACUAUAUUUUAUUAUAAAUACAAACUCAUGGAUCAUCACACAAUCAAUCAAGAUUUCUUAACUACAUGUGCAUGUUUCCUCUCUCAUUUUCUCCCUCUAUUUUUCUCCCUCUCCUCUCAUCUUCUUCUCUUCUUUAGAAUUCUUUCAUGGUAUCAAAGUGUGGUUCGAAUGACUGAGCAACAUGCUGCUAUGAAUCAAGUUGUCAUGACGGUUACCAUCAUAGGACAAGUCCCGGUGAUUGUUCCAUUUGGAAUAACUAUAUGGUUCAAGCUUAUGAACAAUAAUUUUCAUUUUUAGAGAAACUCAAUUGUCUUAAUUCUCAAUGGAUACGAUUGAUGAAAUACAUUCAGGAAGAUUCACCACCUAUCUCCUCAAAUGAUGAAACAAGAAAGUGUGAAAGUAAUAUAGAUUUCAAGAUUUGGUGAAAAAUCAAUCAACAAGUAUUUCACUUUCUG
This 1091-nucleotide long non-coding RNA is filed under the name Spirodela polyrhiza (greater duckweed). RNAcentral describes it as "long non-coding RNA (SPOL_LNC002319)". The record is from RNAcentral. Lineage: Eukaryota; Viridiplantae; Streptophyta; Magnoliopsida; Alismatales; Araceae.